CUGUGCGCCGAGUAGGAAGUGACUCUGUGGCGCUCGGGGACGCAGAGCAGCCACCUGACGCUGCUACCGCCCCCCUCCGGACUCUGGCGCCUGAAGCCUCAACACGGGAGCUUCCGACGCCCUGAGAAACCCCACUAUCUGGAGCAGGAGCCAGAUGGAAUAUGAGCGCAGAGCUGGCAUCCCGAAUGGCCCUGAGCCCCAGGCUGGAUGUGGCGCGCGGGGGCGCCUACACGGCGUCUGGGGAGCUUCCCCGGGGUUGCUGAAUGCAGGAGGAGAACAGGGAGCUGGAUCCCCCCUACCCAAACUUUCAGAAAAGAGUUCGCUUGAUGCUAGGAGUCCUAGGAAAGAGUGAAAAAUUCAGACAAGAGCGAUAGCAAUCGGCAGCGUUUGCGUGGAAAAGUGGUACAAGCCCUGAGAAGAAAGCUGCUGCGCAAGGCUGGGGAGAGGCCGCCCUCUCUGUACGUUCAGGACCCGGACUGGAGUGGGACCGUUAGGAACAGUCUAAAAGCAAGGGACAGCCACACAGAAGGGAAAACUGCUCAAGUAAGAAUGGGGCGGGAAGACACAGAGGGGAGCCCGAGCUGCAGCAGUGCGUUCUUUUAUCUGAGGCAUUGUUUUGGCCUCCAGACUGCAGCACCAACAUGCACUAAGAACUUCUUGACAUGCAAAUUUGGGAGCCUUAUCCCUAAAUGAGUGUGCUAAGAACGCUGAGGAUGGAGUUUUGCCGUCUUUUGCUAACAAGCCCCCUGGGCAAAAUAUGAUACACAAGCCACACACCAAGAAGGACAAAGCCAAAACUUCCUUUCUGGAGGCUCCACCUGGGCCUGUGGAGACAAGAACCCACCGGGAAGAGAAAGGGCUCCCUGGCAGGGCACAAAGGGUAAAGGGCCAAGACCAAGAAAUUGUACUGCCCACAACCAGGCCUAGUCUUCCCACCUCAUUGAAUCCAAGAAAAUCCUUCAUAGAAAUGCACAGAGGUCAACCCAAUCCAGACAAUUCCUCAUGGAGACUCUCUUCCCAGCCAGGAUUUUCAGGGGGGCUCUCCCGAUCAAAUCUGAUCUCUAUCAACCUUAAAUGAAUCCACAGCCUUUCAUUUCCUGUGGAAACAAAAGCAUAACAUUUUCCCCAAGGUAAGACUUUUUUUGGCUUCCAUUUUAAAGUUAAAGCAUUCCUAAAGUAUAUAGUUUGGUUUAAUUUCACAGUCCCUUUCAUAAUCCAAUGUCUCUCAGCAGCUGUUGUCUGUUCAUUAGCAUUCAAAAAAAUCAGAAUUAAUAAAGCACUAUAGAAGAUCCCAAAUCCCUGAGUUGUAAUAUUUCCCUUCCUUACAUGGCUUAUCAUUUACUUUUUAAUCACUUUACUACUCUCUUUAAAGAUUCUAUUAUUUUUUAAACUAUUUUUUAAGACUGUCUAUAUCCUUUUUCUUUUUUUCUUAAGCCUACAUACAUUGUUAAACACACUGUAACCUGUUUAGAGGGUUUUUCCAUUUGAACUUGCUUUACUGCAUAUCUGUAACCUUUUCUGUCUGCAUGAGCAAAACUUUACAUCACUAUGCAACUUAGCUCAUAGCACUGGCAGCUCAAUCCCACAGGCAGUGGCCAGAAGAUACGUCUCUGUACUGUGACCCUCAUGAGAGACUUCGAGACUAGGAAGCCACAUUUGGCUCCAUUUUUGUGUGUUUGGAACCUUUUUUUAAGCAUUCUUGGGUCUUAUGUGAAAAUACUUACCCCACAUUUGGUGUCAUUUGUAGUCAAACUUUUUUGUUGGUGCAGUUGACUCAGAGACUUGUUCAUAAUGAAAGCUCAGCAAAUAGCUUAGGCUUGUUUCUAACUAGCUCUUAUAACUUAUUAAACCAUUUUAUUAAUUUACUUUCUACCUUGUGGCUUUAUUACUUCAUCUCCAUAUUGCCGAUCCUGCUUGCCCUAUGUCUCUUGGUGACUUCUCCUUUCUUCUUCCCACAGCUCUCUGUUCCCAGAAUUGCUGCCUGUACCUCCUGCCUAGCUAUUGACCACUCAGCUCUUUAUUAAACCAAUCACAGUGACACAUCUUCACACAAUGUAAAGGAAUAUUCCACAACAGAAAUGCCCUGGCUUUAAAAAGACGUUUGUGGAAGACUAUAUCCAUUUGCUAGACCUUCCAUUACAGAAUUCCACAAACCAGGAGGCUUGGACAACAAAAAUGUAUUUUCUCAUCAUCCUGAAAGCUGAAAGUCUAAGAUCAAGGUGUCUGGGGGUUGGAUUUGUUCUGAUACCUCUCUCUGUGGAUUGCAGAUGGUCUUGCUGCCUCUGCAAGGUCUUUAUCUCCUCUUUUUAAGGGAAUGUUGAUUAGAUAGGUUAGGGCCCGACCUUAGGACUGUAUCUUCAGUCAGAAAGCAGGAAAAGAUGGGUGCUAUUCUUAGUGCUUUUACAUUUUUAUGUAGUCUGUGCCCUCAGCCCACAUCUAGCAUGGCUCUUUCUUUCUCAGUUAAUCGUCUCAGGGAACACCCUCAGAGACAUACCCAGAGUUGUGUCUCCUAGGUAACUCUAAAAUCCAAACUAGCAUGCCUGGCAGAGUGGCCCACACCUUUAGUCCCAACACUUGGGAGGCAGAAAGAGGCAGAUCUCUGUGAAUUCAAGGCCAGCCUGAUCUACAUAGUGAGUUCCAGAACAGCCAGGGCUACAUAGUCAGACUGUGAGACCCUAUCCCAAAAAUAAAACAACAACAAAAAAGAAAAAACACCAAUACUUUGUUUUGUGUGUAAUGAGGUAAAUAAAAUAUGUUGGUUAAUGUCAUGUGAACUUGACACAAGCUAGAGUCAGUUGGGAAGAGAGAGACUCUCAGUUGGGAUAAUACUUUUAUAAGAUUGGCCUACGGGACAUUCUCUUGAUUAGUGAUUGAUAGGGGGUAGCUCACUGUGAGCAGUAUCUCCCCUGGGCAAAUGGGCCUAGGUGGUAUGAAAAAGCAGGCUGAGAAAGCCAUGAAGAACAAGCCAGUAAGCAGCAUUCCUCCAAGACCUGUGCAUCAGUUCCUGCCUCCAGGCUCCUGCCUUGAGUUCCUGCCCUGACUUCCCUCUGUGAUAGAAUGUGACCCGAGAGAUAUCAGAUGAAAUGAGCCCUUUCUCCUCUAAGUUGCUUUUGGUCAUGGAGUUUCAUCACAGCAAUAGA
Molecule: non-coding RNA, 3140 nt
Organism: Peromyscus maniculatus bairdii (prairie deer mouse)
Lineage: Eukaryota; Metazoa; Chordata; Mammalia; Rodentia; Cricetidae
Source: RefSeq, a predicted model, not a curated record